Long non-coding RNA from Piliocolobus tephrosceles (Ugandan red Colobus), 4109 nucleotides. RefSeq lists it as uncharacterized. The transcript is spliced from 2 exons. Lineage: Eukaryota; Metazoa; Chordata; Mammalia; Primates; Cercopithecidae. The record is from RefSeq and is a predicted model, not a curated record.
ACAAAUGGGAGGUGACCCUGGGCCACCGACCCGGCCCCGCACCGGCCUGCAAUCCACUCUCCUGGCAGGAGGCAAAGAUGGAACACUGGCCCUGGAGUGAAGAGGCUGCCUUUGAAGCCCAGGCAACCUAGCCUGCAGUCAGAAGGUGGAGUGGGUUACUGGAGUUAAGUAAUGACCAAUGGCAGCAGCACCAGGCAGCCCAGACUGGACAAUGCCAUCUCCUGAGGCCAGAACUGGCUUUCCUUGGGCUUCUGGGAAGUCAGGGAGAUGCCCAGCUGAUACUAAAUCUUUGUGGUUCCCGGGGAUCCAGGCCAGGGAUUGCCCAGCGCUGCGCGAAGUGCUAAUGGAUCCCUUUUCCUCUGCCAGAGCACCCAGGCCAAAAAUUCCUACCAGAAGUGAUGAGACCCAAUGUUCCUGCCUAAAACCCACUGCGAGUGCCACCCGGGACAAGAAAAAUGAAACCAAUUUAGCUCCCGAUUAAGAAACAGAAACUGGAGAUGAAUCAAGUGCGCCGGCUGGGCUGGGCGGCCAUACAUCACAUUCCCCGGGUGGAGGCCGCCACAGCGGGCAGGCAGGCGGGCGGACUGCUCCUCCCUCCGCCAAGGCUCCCGGGGCCGUGGCCCAGCGAUCAAUUCACAGAGUCACGCUUAGCACCAGCUGGGCUCCACUGCCGGCUGUGUGCCCAGGGCAGCAGCACCGAGCUGCACUUGGGAGGGCCAGAAGCCCUGGCAGCAGGCCUUCCUGCUAGCAAACGGCCCCUCCUCCCACUGAACUGCGGUCCCAGGGCCCCCUCCUGGCCAAACACUUACUUCUCGAUGUCGCUGUUCUUGCAGGUCUUCUGCAUGGCCUCCUGCUUGCUGCUUUCACCAUUGCUGGUGGAUGGCAUCUCUGCUGGGACAGAGGGGCAACUCACACUCCGGCCAGACUGGGCAGCACAGGUGCUAACGCGGCUUGGCUGUCACCUUCAAUGCAUCACCCGAGGCUGAGAGCCCCCCUCGUCAUUCCUAGCUUGCAGCCUCACAAUUCCAUUUCCCCACCCAAAUACAUCCAUUUUAAUAUGCACAUCACAGGCAGGCAGCACGGUCACAAAGAAGCCCCACCAGCAGCAGUCCCCACGUGGUGGAACGGAUGGAUGACCAGCCACCAGCCUCGGCCUCUUGGCUCCCAAUAGAUGGAUACCCAGCAGAGGCCUGGCACCGGAGUGCCACUGUCUAUGUGUCAGCUGCUUGUACCUCGGAAGCCACCUUCCAGAAGAGUGGUGGCCCGUAUCCGCUUCUGCCCACACCAUUCAUACUCCUCAAAGCGGUUGUUGUUCUCAUGCUCGAUGUCCACAGCAUCAUCCUCAGCCAUGCAGGAGCCUUCCCUCUGUGAAGAGCAGAGCAGGAUCAUGCUGGGCCCAGGCCAUCCCCACCUGCUCCCCACAGUCUGUGAUGAAGGCACAGCUCUAGCCUCAGCUGUGGUGCGCCAAGUGGGCCCUCAGCUCUAGGGCUCCUCUGAAGCAAACCAAUUUAGAGGUCAAAGACCUGGGCCUCUUCCCAAUAGUUUUCCACUGGAGCCCAAGGAGGGAAUGAGUGAGAGUGAAAGCAAAGGGAGAGAGCAGUGGACAGAAGUGAAGAAGCUGCUGAGACUACAUGGAGACCCCAAGAGCCCAGAUUCAGGGAUAGUCUGCAGCUAGUGUUGGGGGAGGGGAACGGGGAAGGAAGGCGGGUGGUGAUGGCCCCUCUACCUUAGAAAGGCAAUGCUCCACAUGCCUACUCAUCUCCUGCUCCGAUCCUGCCAGGGGGCGGUUGCACAGGGGACAUACCUGCCCUUCAUCUUGCUUCCUCCGUUUCAUUUUCCCAAUCCGAGCUGCACGGGGGAACCGAAAACAAAGCACAGAACAAGCAGACGGUCACUGCAGCCCCCAAGGUCCCAGUGGAGCUGACACAUCCUGACCUCUUGCCAACCACUAGCGUUUUUAUUCAGUGCCUGAUCUGGCCCUCAUCUUGAAGUACCUCCUGCUCCUUUGGGGACUGGGCUUUGCCAAGAGCACCUGGGGAGGAGACUGGUGCUAACUAAGCCAGUGAGUAAGUCUACUCUUUGGCCACAGCUGGUGCAAGGUCUACCCAUACCUUUAUUUGCAGUGUUUAGUUAAGCGUCCAAUGGGCAAAGACACUCCAUGUUGCUAGGUAUCUCUCCAGAAAGCCAAGACCACGAACUCUUUUGGUGUCAGGAAAUACAACUCUAAAGAGCAUCUCUUGGCUAGAACCUAACCCCGCCAGUGGCCUGACUUGGCCUGCUGUUCACUCAUCAGCUAAAUCCUCCUUUGUUCCUGGGCCAAGAGCCCUGAGGUACAGCUCCUAGCAUCCCACCUAGCAUCUUAACAGGAAGAAUUUCUCUGAGGUCCACUGAUCCCAUUUUACAGAAGAGGAGACUGAGGCCCAGUCACAAAGGUAAGAAGGUCUGGGUCAGACCUUUGGCAGCCAGGUCAGAAGGCUCAGGGAACCCUUAUUGUGAGAGGCAGCCCUUAUUGUGCCCACCCGAACCUGUUCCUUCAUUUCUAAUCAGUACAGAGGGGCUGGCAGGCCCUGGAGGCAGAGGGCUGCCUGCCAUGUUGUCCCGCAGGGGGCUCAGUUCCAAAGUGCACACUGCAAGCCCACAGCACUGCUAAUUAAUGCUGAGCGAUGCAAUCAUUUCUAAUUAGCUCACUAAUCCCUCUCUGCAGCCCUCCUGUCACUGAAGCAGGAAGGGGUCAAAACAAGAAACUCUGUUCCCUCUAGUCCCUUCCAGAAUGCCACAGCAGGAUCAGAGAUGGCUACUCUGGGACCAAAGUGAUGGGGAGGGGGGAGAGCCAGCCAAGGAGGGAAAGGUUCCCCAGUGCAGGGCCAGGAAGAACUUUCUCAUGGACAGCGACCCUGACAGGAAGUUCAUGAAUGCAUUCUAGGAGGGGAACACAGGUGAGAGCUGCUAUGUUACAAUUUAGAGCUUCUACUGUGUGUCAGGCUCACAGUCAAGUACGUUACCCAAGGUAGCUCAUUUACUACCACUUGCUGAAGCUAGAUUGCAUUAUCCCAUUUUAACAGAUGAAGAAACCCAAAGCUUAGAGAGAUCAAGGCACGUGUCCAAGUAGCUAAAAAGUGGCAAAGGCAAGAUAGGAAACCAGGCCUGACUUCGUAACCUAGAAUGCCCUUCUGUUCCAAGGGGACCCCCUAACUGAGCAGCAUCAACAGACUGGUCCCAGUGAGUGUGCUAGAGCUCCAGCUCCUGCCUGUUGUGAGCCUGAGGCAGGGAGCUACUCCAACUCCAAAACAGAGUGACCCCAGAAAGACCCAAACCAAAAGGAAAGCUACCAUCCUGCCAGAACUGGGCAUGGAGUUUGAGAAAACUUGGUCUGUAGCCCAGUCCAUCUCUUCAAUUUCCUGUGUUUUCACUAUAGGUGACAUGACUGUGUCCUAGUGCCCCACUUGACUUUGUGGACAAAGAUCGAGAACUCUUCACUUUGGCUGCCCAAACUCUUGGAAUCUCCAACUUAGGUAGCCUUGACACUGUAGAGCCAGGGCUGGGAUGGACAAUGGACGUGAAACCUCAGAAAGGCACUGAGCAAAGGACCCUGAGAGUUUUAGAAAGUGUAGUAUGGAGCAGUGUGCCAACACAAAGCUUCCUCCCUACCAUGCCUACACCAGGAGAACGCCUCCCUGGGUAAGAAGGUGCUGAUGAUACCACAAUGUUCGAUGACUAAGGAAACGAAUCUCAUGGAAUGGUCAAGAAAAGCACGAUACUGGAUGUGCUCCUUGCUCAGGACACACAGGCCAGCAGAUGAUCCCUUGUAGUCCCUGGAAAGCACCCUGAGGGACUGGGCUUCAUUUGGAAAUUCUCAGAGAAGGCAGGUUUGGUUUUCAUCUUCCCAUUCAUCUUCUAAAUCCUGAACUAAGCUUACCAAAGUGUAGUAGGGAAAGUUCUGUUCUCUAUCCAGAGGCUACGUAUGAGUAGGAAGAAUGAAAGCAUGUGCCAAGUAGGUAGCAUGGCAUGGUUGGAGAAACACGGGCUUUGGCGGGAAACAAACUUCAAAUGAAUCACGGCUCAGUUACAUCCCAGCUGUGUGCUUUUAAACAAACCACUUUCACCUCUCA